RNAcentral lists this ribosomal RNA (254 nucleotides) under uncultured bacterium. RNAcentral's name for it is "partial 16S ribosomal RNA". It matches the Rfam family "Bacterial small subunit ribosomal RNA", at positions 524 to 776 of the family's 1533-position model. The record is from RNAcentral.
UACGAAGGGGGCUAGCGUUGUUCGGAAUUACUGGGCGUAAAGCGCACGUAGGCGGAUAUUUAAGUCAGGGGUGAAAGUCCCAGAGCUCAACUCUGGAACUGCCUUUGAUACUGGGUAUCUUGAGUAUGGAAGAGGUAAGUGGAAUUGCGAGUGUAGAGGUGAAAUUCGUAGAUAUUCGCAGGAACACCAGUGGCGAAGGCGGCUUACUGGUCCAUAACUGACGCUGAGGUGCGAAAGCGUGGGGAGCAAACAGG